Molecule: long non-coding RNA, 1231 nt
Filed under: Ananas comosus (pineapple)
Lineage: Eukaryota; Viridiplantae; Streptophyta; Magnoliopsida; Poales; Bromeliaceae
Description: long non-coding RNA (ACOM_LNC021774)
Source: RNAcentral
AAGAAGAAAAAAAAAAAGAAAGGAAAACUUCAAAAAACCCCUGUGGUUUCGUAUUUUUUCAUUUUAGUACCCUACAGUUUAAAGUGUAUCAAGUUUGUACCAUGUAAUUUCGCACUUUCUCAUUUUAAUACCCUGUGGUUUAAAGUGUAUUAAGUUAGUACCCUGUGAUUUUAUUUUUGUAUCAAAUUAGUACUCUAUGGUUCUAUUUUUGUAUCAACUUAGUAUCAUGUGGUUUUAUUUUUCUCUUAAUGAAAUAUUAAACCACAGGGUACUAAAAUGAGAAAGUGUGAAAUCACAGAGUACUAACUUGAUUCACUUUAAACCACAGGGUACUAAAGUGAGAAAGUGCGAAACCACAAGGUGCUAACUUGAUACACUUUAAACCACAGGGUACUAAAGUGAGAAAAAGUGAAACCACACGGAGGGUAUUUAAAGUUUUUCCAAAAAAAAAAGAAACAAAAAAAAAAAAGGUCAUAACUUAAAGUGAAGAUGACACCUUUUAUUGGCAUCAAGAUUUGCUAAUGGGCAUUGGAUGUGUCUAAACAAGUGGGAAAUCUACAAAAAAAACUUUCUUCCAUCACAAGUCUUCCAUCAUUCAUCAACUUUCACCACACAUAAAGUCCAACUGAUUCACCAGCUCUUCAAUGAGAAUGCCUUUUCAUUUUAGAAAAGGGUAUUGAUAUUAACGCGUCUGUUUGUAGUAUUUACAGGACAAGUUCUCUGUAUCUAGUCGUAGUUAAAUUAAACUGUUUUGUUCUCGCAUGACUUAAGCUUUGCUUGGGAUUGCAGAAAAAUUACGUCGUGUGCGGUGAAAAAAUACGAUAGAAAAAUACUAUGCUUAUUUCCGUAUGUAAUAUCGCAUUCUGUAUAUCGCAAUGAGUCAGUUAUAAUAUACUUUUUAUGGUCUUAUCGGAAAACGUAGAUACAUAUUCUUGUAUACUUUUGUUCCAAUUCUAUUUUUUAUUUAUUAACGUUAAAACGAGCCUCAAUACCAAACAGGCUCCUACAGAAAUGCAACACAUUACCGACCGUCCCUAGAGCAAGUAGCAAAGGACUUGGUGGUUGGUACCCGAGACCCAAGUUUGAAUCUUAGUUGAUUCACAUUUCAGCUAAGUUUAUUUCUAAAUGAAAUAAACGAAGCGGGUAGCGUGCUACCUAUCUCUCAAAAAAAAAAAAAAUUGCAACACAUUAAAAAGAAUUUAAUUCAAAACAAAUUUUCUCGCAAAUUGAA